RNAcentral lists this ribosomal RNA (445 nucleotides) under uncultured bacterium. RNAcentral's name for it is "bacterial SSU rRNA". It matches the Rfam family "Bacterial small subunit ribosomal RNA", at positions 354 to 796 of the family's 1533-position model. The record is from RNAcentral.
GUAAGGAAUAUUGGUCAAUGGGCGCAAGCCUGAACCAGCCAUGCCGCGUGCAGGAAGACGGCCCUAUGGGUUGUAAACUGCUUUUGUACCGGAAUAAACCCCCAGACGUGUCUGGGGCUGAAUGUACGGUAAGAAUAAGGAUCGGCUAACUCCGUGCCAGCAGCCGCGGUAAUACGGAGGAUCCAAGCGUUAUCCGGAUUUAUUGGGUUUAAAGGGUGCGUAGGCGGCCAAUUAAGUCAGGGGUGAAAGACGGUAGCUUAACUAUCGCAGUGCCUUUGAUACUGAUUGGCUUGAAUCCACUUGAGGUAGGCGGAAUGUGACAAGUAGCGGUGAAAUGCAUAGAUAUGUCACAGAACACCAAUUGCGAAGGCAGCUUACUAAAGUGGCAUUGACGCUGAGGCACGAAAGCGUGGGGAUCAAACAGGAUUAGAUACCCGAGUAGUCC